This 35713-nucleotide long non-coding RNA is filed under the name Eucalyptus grandis. Its description in RNAcentral is "long non-coding RNA (EGRA_LNC000280)". The record is from RNAcentral. Lineage: Eukaryota; Viridiplantae; Streptophyta; Magnoliopsida; Myrtales; Myrtaceae.
AAUGAACUUCAUUGAUGUUUCAUCAUUCAGCAAUGCCGCCAUAACAGGCCAAGGGACCUCGUGAACUAGGAAAGAUACCUUCUCAAGCCUGUGUAAGAGAUAGGUCUUAAACUGGCGAACACCCCGUCCAGCUGAUGUUGGAUCCAUCUUAUGAGCCCUCUCAAAUGCAUGAAAGCGACCUAAUAGGAGAGAUAAAGCAAGGAAAAGGAGAAGUUUUGCUACAGAUUAGGAAGAAGACACUAAGAAUAAGGUAGACCACUGAGAAAGAUUAAUGAGCAUGCAGGAAAAGCAUUUAGUAUCUGCUCCACUCUUACAAUUGAUAAGACCCAGCUUCCAAUGACGGACAGAAAUGAACAGCAUAGACAGAAUUUUCCUAAAAGAAAGAUGACACCAUUGCUUUUCUCUCAUUAACAAACCGUUAGCGCUUCCGCAGCGACUCAAACCAAGUCAUGUUACAGCUUCACAUUAUUUAUCUCUCCAACAAUUACAAUGUUCAUAUCGACUGUAUGCUUUAGACACUUAUCAUGGCUACUUUAGUGUUUGAAUAGUAAUCAUCUGUGGCUCUAACAUAGAAUUCCCUGUUUUGAUGGUAAAGAGAAUUGGACGGGUAGCACGCGCGCGCGCGAAGGGCUAUUGUCGUUAAUUAUGUUUAAGCAAACUAUAAUGUCACUUGACCUAUAAUUGUAACAAGGAUUCCUUCUUAUGAGCUCAUAAGAAGACAUAUCUUGAGCAUAGACUUCGAAAUGACUUUCUUCCAAACUUAUCAAACUUAUAUUAGAUAGAUUCAGCUAGAAAUCAGAUAUUAGAUAAGAAACUAGACACUAGAUGUUAGAUUAAAUUAUGAGAGAGUUCUAUUUUAAGAAUGCUCAGCCCAUUUUCUCUAUCAAACGCCGUUGUUUGAAUACAGUAGAUAGCAUAUAAAUGGGAACAACCAUACAGCUAAUAAUCAUUGAGUAUAUUAUGAAAUAUAACCGUGGAAUUACGUCCUUCUUCCACUUCUUCACUUUGCAUAUCUAUUUAAUCCCUUUCAUCUAAUUCACGUCAUCCAAAGCCAUUAAAAUUUGGUAAGUAAACUCCUCAGUUAACAGCUGUUACAUGUUUUUUUCCCCCAAAGCUAACAAUGCCCAUAAACUAAUACUCUCUUGGGUUAAAUUUCAAGUUAUUUACCGGAAAGGUCGACGAUUGAAGUCGCUUGAUAAAUGACAAGGGAAGAAGAAAAUCAAGCACGCACGAGGUGUGAACAACGAUAGAGACAUAAUCAAAAUUCGACAACCACGACUUAGACAGUGACUUGUCCUGCAAGAGUGUUCAUUGUCUAAGUCGGUCGUGAGAAAAGAUUAAACUUUUACCGUCGAGAAACAACUACAUGGCAUGGCAUGCUUGUCAUUGACUCCACCGAGUCGCCUAUGAAAAUUUUGGCCAUCGAACGAACCGAACAACGGGAAACAGGGCAGCAAAGGACCAGAAUGAGAGAGGAGGAGGAGCUUACACAAAUACGCGACCCUCGGGUUCUCCCACUCGACCUCGUUGGCUACGCGGAGGAUUGGCGCGAUGGCGGCCAGUGAAGAGGGCACCAGCUCGCUGUCCACGGCGGAUGUGUCCUCGUUCGGCAAGUCAGCCAUCAUCGUAUGCGUCCUCGUCAUCUUCUUCGACAGCGACCGGGGCGGGCGGGAGCCCGGCUCCGGCUUGCUCCCGCUCGAGCUCGCCAUCCGCAGCGGCGGCGGCGGCGGUUCCCCACACAGACAGGCCCCCUCGUCUCUUGUAUCACCCGGCUCCUGCUCCUCCGGUGGCGGCGGUACUUCGGGUCUCUACGGUGCCAGCCAGCGUCCAGCGAUCGGGCGUCGUCGUUGUCGUCGUUGUCGUCGCCGCCCUCGGCUUGCGCGGGUCUCGAAGAGAGAUGUGGACUGCAACCAUCGCCAAUCUUUUCCGCGCACUUAUGUACGCGCAGAGGGAAGGGGGAGAGAGAUACUUUGGGUGGUGAGUGGGGAAAGGGGAGUUGCCGCUGGAGCAAGGAAAGAAUGGAGAGAAAUGUGUGGCACAGGGAGGACUGUUGGUUUUCAUUGGAGUGCUUUGCGCUUUCGUCCGGUCGAGUGAAGAAAUGCGGCUCUUUCUGCUUUGUCGCGCGCGAAAGUGCGACUGCGAACGAGGAAGGAAACGCUCCCCCGGAUUUCAAUUUUCGGUUUAUGUCGGUUUUGUUCUCUCUUCUUGUCCUUGGGCUCCCUCGUUUGUUGGGCUUGGGCUUGGGCCUGAGCAGUGAGCAGUGGAUUUGGAGCCUCGAGGCCCAUUCUCCUCAGAGUAGAAAAUCACCUCAGCAGAACUCGUUCGAUAAUUUCAGUUCAUAAGUAAACAGUUGGGAAAAUGACAUAGAUGGUCCUUGAAUUUUGGCCUGAUAUAUAAUAUCAUCCCGAAAUUUUUAUAUAUUCAAUAUGGUUCAUGAAUUUUUGGUAUGUCUUUGAUACAAUCCCUAGACUAAUGUUAUCAUUUCUAUUCGAGUUGACAAAAUUUGUAGAUUUGGCAUCCAAUUAAGUACAUUUGAAUGAUUGACAAAAAAAAAAAUUCCACUCCUAAUAGUUAACUCGAAUUAGAAUAUAAUGAUCAUUUUAAGUUGUAUCAAUUUGGAAAAAAAAAGAUUAUUUAUGUUAUUAGAUGACGUUAAUUAUUAUAUUUUGAUUUAAAUUAGAUAUCUUACAUAGAUAACCUCCGUAUAAUGUCAUUUUUGUCUCUAGUGUUCAAUGGACGUCUAGGUAUCUUAGACCAGUAAAUUAUUCUCAUCAAUUGUGACAAUUCCUUGUUCAAUUGUCAUUGAUUAAUUAGCUGAACAAGAGAACCUGUUCUCAAAUCAAACUAUGCAGAAAUGACAUUAUAGGGAUGAGAGAGUGACACGGUCAUCCUUUCUCCAAAGUACACAACUUUAUCUAUACCCAAAAAAAACCAGCUUCCAAGGUUCCCACGAUAAUAUUUUCAUUCUAAUAGCCACUAAAUGUGAUACCUAAAAAAUAUAAUAAGAAAAAGGAAUGAGCCACCACCACCCGGUGAGUAAUACAUUUCCUUUAAGCAAAUCAAACAAUCACUAUGUACAUUUAUAAAACCAUAUCAUAACUCAUUUACACCAAAUCCAAAAUAUAUCAAACUUACAAUCUUAUCAAAAUACAAGUCAAUGGUUCAUUCCAUCAAAUAAAGCUCGAGUAUCUAGCCAUGGUCAUGAAUAACACCCCGUGAUAAGGCAACCAAGAUUCCUCUAUUGAUUAGGUCUUCACCUAUUAUAAGCUAGAAGCUCGGCCCACAAAAAUAUCCUAGACUAGUAUGUGCAUAUCCACAACUAGUAUAUGCAAACCCGCACACUCCUCAACGGUUUUAUAAAGACAUUAAGCAUAAUCUAUCAGCCUCAAUCUCUAGAAAUCCACAAUCAAAAUUAGAAACCAUCUCCAACUCAAGUUUAAUAACCAAAUCACAACUUUUCACCAUCACAAUUCAAAUGUCAAUGGUCAAGUCCAUUGAUUAAUCUCUAUUAAAUCAUAACUUUUCACCAUUGAUUAUAUAUAUAUACCACAAUCCAUUUCAUAAACCAACUGACGAAUCAGUAUAUAACAUUUCAUAAACCAUAUUUAAAAUCAAGAACUUCUCGUGAGUCUUUCCUAAAAUGUUUCAUAAACCCAUUUGCAAGCAAUCAGUUUAAACUAUAGUCAAAAGAUAACAUUUCCACAUCUAAAACACAAAUGGUAGUAAAUGCUCAAUUAAAUUUAUGCAAGGAAUAUGCUCGUGCUUAACUCAUAACAUAACUAAACCAUUUCACUUUUGAAAUAUGAGUUUACAAACUCAAAGAAGAUAUGGUAUUACUCACUUGAGAAAAGCCCAAAAUCAACCUAUGGUGGUUACUUAAGCCGACGCACUUACAAUCCUAUCAAUUAUUCGAAAACCGAUAUUAAAAACCGAGUAAUACACAACUCCGAUGAACAACUUGACUAACCACGUUCAAUUGUUCAAUGUAUUGACUCCUAAGCGCUAUGAAGAACCUCAUUUAUGGCAUAUGUUUGUCUUUUGCCAUAACACAUAUUAUCUGUUACGUAUAACUUGCACGCAAAACUUGGAAAUUUCUGUCCAAACAAACCAUACUUCAAAAUCAAGUUUCGUCUAACCCCAAUGCUUCACAACGCCCUAGACUACUAUUUUCAUGAAAAUCAUAGCUCCAAAUACUCCUUAAUCGAACCUCGUAGUUCAAAAUUUACAUAACUCCAAAUUUGUGCCAUAACUUCCAAAAUUACUUCAAUUAGAUGAUGAUCGGCUUGAAUACUUACCAAGUGUAGCGAUUUGCAAUUGAUUUGGCUAGUCGAGGUGUCCAAAUUAGCUAUGCAUGAAAAAAAUUCCUUCUUUUUUCUUCUUCCCCUUAUUUCCUUCUUCAAGGUCGAGCUUCUCGUUCUUCUUCUUUUGCUUCUUCUGUCUACUGCCUUGACUUCAUGUGAGAUAAGUGUGGAAGAAUCAAUGAAUAUGGGCUGACUUUGUCCGUUAAAUACAUGGGUCUAAGCUUCAUGGGCCCAUGUUUUACAUCCACAUCAUAACGAGAAGCUAAGUAGCACCGACACUGACACGUGAGACGUGACACGACACGACACGACACGCUAACAUGUCGUUUUUGAAAAGUCAGAGAAUUCCGACAUGUUGGGACACGUUAUAUAUUAAAUAUAUAUUUUUAUAUAAUUAUCAUUUUUAUGAUUAUUUCAAUCAAAUUCAUAAAUAAAUAAAUAAAUAAAUAAAUAAGCCUUUAAUGAAUAUAUACUAAAAACAUUAAUCCGUCAUUUAUUAAUAUCAUUCAUUGUUUUAAUUUGACAAAUUCAACUCUAUUUCAAUAAUUCAUAAAACUUGGAGAAAAAACAAGCGAUCCAUAUUCUGGACUCGCGUGUUAGAUAUAUUGGAAGAGGAGAAAGAAAACUUAAGGAGUAAAUUGUGUAUUACGGGAAAUAGGAGUCAGAAGAGGAGAAAACUAGAUUUUUCUUCUUUCUCCAUUUAUUAUUUUCAUUAUUGUAUUUUAUUUUUUCACACACACACAUUGACAUCUCAUUUAUUGAAUUUUUAAAAUUAAUCUCGAUAUUGAAAUCACGUGUCGAAAACUCAUAUGUCAGAAUUCCAACUCGAGUGUCAAAGAGUGUUGAGAAAGUUGACCAGUUGUCAGAUUUUCUGAUACGCGUUGACCAAGUGUCAGAGAGUGUCGGACACAUGUCGAAGUGUCCGACACGACACGAAGGCUCUUGGAAAGUGUCGGUUCUUCAUAGACGAGAAGCGCACCCUCACGUCGUUGCAUGUGGUAGCGUUUGCCAAUCAGAGAACCAAAACUAAAUAUCUCCUAUGCAUGUCGUUAGGUGAUUAGUUUUUAUAUGAAUGCCCUAGAAACUAUCUUAUCUGGGUUGGUUUUCAAUUUUUGACCCCCGAAAUCGUCUCUCUUGACCCUAAAACAGGCUUAGAAUCGACCAGCUAGUUUCAGAGUCUAGUCGGGAAUUGGCCAAGGCAUUUUCUCUCUCAUUUUAUUAUACAUACAAUAUGCAUGUCCCAAGCAUGAAUAUGAUUCUUUCUGUUGGAUGAUAAAAUGUCAACCGUAUUCAAUUUCAAUAAAUAUUUUCUAUCUUAAAAAGGAGUAUAAUUACUUAGAAAUAAGGUAAACCAGUUUAAUUCUAGGUUCUUCCCCAUAACAGACCUUACAAAUUCUGGGUUUCCAUGUAAAACUGGCCUAUUUAAAGCAUGGAACUUGAAACCGAACCAGUCAAGACCAAUUCUCGAUUGAACCUAACACCUAACCAGUUAAGGCCAAUUCUCGAGUUGAAUCAAUCUAAUUGCUCACCCCAAGCAUGUUGCACUACUACUGAAUUUGGUUGCUAGCGUAGCUUGAAGAUGAAAUGCAAGUCGAAACCUCCCGUCUUCCAGAGAAGCCAACAAUUUUUUGGUAUUGGAAAUGCCAUUACGAACCAAAGACUGCAUUUUCCAACGCUGUAGAGUUGUUGGUACAAUGCUCGAUUUAUAUUACGAUCACCAUAAUCUCGCUAAUCACAUUAUCUACUCGGAUUCCGCGUUGUUUGCUUUUCCCUCCGUUUCUGGUCCAGGUUUACAUGUUGGGCACAAAAAUUACAACACAAUAAUCGAAGGUGACCCUGCGAGUUCUUUGUGGCAACCUUGCUGUUCUUUCUCCAAUCUGCAAACCACAUGCUAAGCCAGCCAAAUAUCCGCGGACAGACCGUCCUCAUUCGUCUGUUGCACAAUGCCUCAACUAUCGAGCCACUGUAUUCACCAGAGGGGGAAAAUGAUCUAUUCCUCUUCAAUUGGAACACGAGCAAUUACCAAGCUGAAGGCAUGUUCCUCCAAUUCAAGAGGUCUUCCAUCUCCAGCUGUGUUAGAGUAGCUACAGUGCCUUCACCAGUCUAGCAGGCCUUGCCGUGCUUGUGAAGCUAGCAUGCAUCCCUCGCGUCUCAUAUCAUACAGUUCACGGAAGGCUUCUUUAAUUGCCUAUAGCAGCCUAUUACUUUCCAUCAACCAAGAGCAAAUGCCCCAUUUUAGUUUAUACAAAAUGAUCAAGUAAUGGUUCAUAUCAGAGGAGAAGCGGGAUAUAGGUAAUGUGAAAAGUGCAUGAAAGUCAUACAUGUGCGACUGGGCCAUUAUACUUGAUACAGUCAAAUUGCUUUUGUCCAGUAGCUUUUACAUAGUUCCACGAGUACCAUCAGUCUAUAGUCCCAUUCUCUAAAUAAGAUUGAAGUCAGGAAAUAGUGUUAGGAUAAUAGGAGACAGGUUGUUUUACACGUUUUAAAAGGCCACAAAUCAAUCUCAUCAAUUAGCAAGAACAUGGAGGACGUGGAGGCAUGAUCUUAAUUUUUCACUAUUGUCUUCUCUUGCUGUAUCUUCAAAAACUAGAAACGAUCAAAACAAAAGACCAUAUAAAAGCUAUUAUCAUGAUCUCUCUCUUUCACAGAUCAAUCUCAUCAAUUAGCAAGAACAUGGAAGACAAGGAGGCAUGAUCUUAAUUUUUCACCACUUUCUUCUCUUACUGUAUCUUCAAAAACUAGAAAUGAUCAAAACAAAAAAAGACCAUAUAAAAACUAUUAUCAUGAUCUUUGAGUCUAAGAGAUUACACAGGUGUGGUGAUUAAAACUCAAACCUUAAAUGAGAAAGACAAGCAUGCCUAUUCCAUGAAAAACUUUCGCAAUAGCAGAUUAAUUACAAGCAAGCUUAGGUUGUUGUUAGACUCUGCCAACCUAAAAGAUCAGACUAAAGUGCUUUCUCGAGCCGAUAUUCAAUUUCAUGCCAAAACAUGAGGCUCAGUUUAAGUACACCGGAUUCUUUGAACAAUUAGAUCAUCCCCGGUGCUUUAACUAUGAGAAAGCUAAUCCAACAAGACAUGCGCUUUACACGCAUACAUCAAGCUUAAGUACACCGGAUUCUUUGAACAAUUAGAUCAUCCACAGUGCUUUUAAUAUGAGGAGGCUAUUCCAACAAGACAUGCACUUUACACGCAUACAUCACGCUGACUAGAAACUUUUCUCACAUUCCACAUACGUCGAUAAUCUAAAAUCAAUUGAUGUUCUUCAAUUACUCUUCUGAACAAAACAGAAGACAUGCUGUCUUCUAGCUCAGGAGGGAAAUGAGUCCCAUAGAAAGGAACUGAGAAGGUAAAUUCUCAAAACUGAUCAUCCGCGAGGAGUGCGGAGAAACUUAUGUCCUUCUGCAUACUAACAAGGGAAACACAAUCCGACCUGUGCUAGCAGAAGAAUUAUGUCCUUCCAAAGGAGAUUGAAGGAGGGAAGUCAAGUGACAAGCAAACAUGAAAGUUAGUGCAGUCAUUCCUUGUCCUUGUAAUCACACUCAUAUUGCAAGUACCAUCAUCCUUUAGAUUUACCAUUUAUAAGGGAAUGGAUACUUUCUCAAGAAGUAUCGAUAAAUCUGAUUCCAUUCUCAAAGUUUCAAGAGUGAAACUAUUGCCAAGAGAAUUAAAGAUUUUGACCACUAAUCACUUAGAUUUGCAAGAACUAUCUCAAAAUCAAUCACCUAUCAAAAAGUUAAAAAAGAUGCAAUUCGAUCACUCCAAAUCCCACGCAUCUGCACUGUGAUAAUCCGUCGCGCACUUCACUUUCCGGGCACAAAGUUGGUGGCGCAAGCCCAGGCAUUGUUGCUGCAGGGUCAGCAAGGUGAUCAGCCAGGUUCUCCAAUGGGCCUUUCCCUAUCACAAUGGCCUGGAUGAAGAACCCAGACAUGGAGAACAUGGCCGACCUCCCAUUUGUUUAUCUCCUUCACCUUCAGCCCUGCGAAAGCCGCCAUCCGUGAGGCCCAACGGAUCGAAGUUGCAGGUAGAUCGGUCCGUCAGCUCUUCGAGUGGGCCCCCCUGCGAACCUGUAUCCUUCCACUGCACCCAUUAGGAUUACCUACGUGGCCCAGAUGGCCAAGAUGUUGUGCAUCGAUCAGGCUCGUGUUCCCCAAAUAGUCCAACCCGCCCUCACUGAAUAUCUGUACACCAGCCUUAAACCAAACCGCCUCGCCAAACUUGACCCCAUUGCAGGACAAGCGCUCGGGGAAGAUGCACCCAAGGACGCUGAGCAUGGCCCACCUCGCAUGGAUGACCUCGAGCUCGUGGUUCUUGUCAGAGGUCUCCGGAUCAGCUCGAGCACACCUUUGAGCAGUGUGAACUGCGAACAUGCGAAUCUUAGGAGGAGAUGCCGUCUUAUGCGGAUUGAGAAAUGUAAAUCCCAUUCCAGCAAAUCAAUCUUCUUUUCUUGCUGCUCAACAAAUGAAAAUACCAACAGAAGCAAAAGACAGAUGAAAAGAAUAUAAUACUGAAUGAAGUAACUCAACACUUGGGAGUCAGAAUUAGAGAGAAAUGAGCAACAUUUCUUUCGAGCAUUAUGUCCAACUUGUCCAACUGCAGUAAUUAAGAAGUCAAUCACUUACAUUACAGUUUUUGAGUAUCCCUCAGAUUAAACUUAAUAAUUGAUCCAUCCCUUUGGCAGUGAACAUCAAAAAAUAUUGAGCAUCACUGAUUUCUCUUCCUUGCCUAUCUUAUGAGCAUGGUGGCUCAUAAAAACACCCAGCUUGAGUGCCUCCCUUCCUUCUUCAAGGGCUCUUUUUCUUAUAGCCGUUGUUAAACUAGCACCCCAGAGAGUGGCAUCACUGGUCUCUUUCUCACCUUCAGUUUCUUUUCAGCAUUGGAUCCAUCAUCUGCCACAUUGUCGCUACUUCGGUCUGCAUUCUCUACCAGUUUCAGUUGCAUCUAUGUACUCAAAAUCUUCUGGACUGCCACUUCCCCACCACUCAUUUGAGGUGACAUACAAGCCAUUCGAUGGAAAUCCAUACUUGAAUUCAUCCAAGACCGCCAGACUUUUUAUCAAGCUUCCACUAAUUACACUUUGGAUCUGCCCGCUUUGGCGUUGCUUACUUUCCGGCUGCUGCGAGCUACGAGGCAGUACCAUUCCCUGCACUUUCGAUGUAUUGCUGCUACUUUGGUGAUAAGACUUGCUGCAUCAACAAUAAAUUAAUAUAAAGACAUUUUUAAAUGAAUAUCCACAAAAAUUGCAUCUCCAGAAUAUGCAUUGUGACUCAGAACGAUAAUCAAUCGAAGGUGGGUAUAUUGUACAUGGAUAAUCUGGCCUGCUUCAGAAUAAAAUAUUGAUCAAGUUGCCAAACCGAUACCUACCUUUGUUUCCUUAUCUUCGACAUUAAAGCAAGGUCUCAGAUUCUAUAUCUAGAAGCUAGAUUCCCAACUUGUUUUACAUCCUCUGACAAAGAAUCUGCGACACAAGCCAGAAUUGCAUCAUCAGUGUGCACAGAGAUGCAAAACCUGCCUAAUACAGCCAUGAUCACCAUAUAUAUAUAUAUAUAUAUAGAGAGAGAGAGAGAUGGUAGGAUGAGAUAAGACAAUACAACAGACUGAAACGGCCAUGAUGUAUAAACAGUGUGCUGUAAGGCAAGUAACAUUGUGCAACAGCACCAUUCAGUUGCAUAAACACCCCAAAAGUCCUCUGCUCUACUUCCAUAAAACCAGUUGAGCUGAACACUUUAAAAGGAGUGUUUUUUUUUUUUUUGGUGAAAGUAAGUGAUAUAUUAGGAAAAUGUCAAACUGUACAACCCAACGGUUUCAAAAACUUACACUCAAGAUGGAUAUGCCCAUUCUAAGUGGAAGGAAGCUGAGGAAAAAACCAAGAGGCAGCCGAGAACGGCCAAAAAGCAAAAAGCAGACCAACACCUAGGAUGACCUAGAACAAGAUGCCUAGCUAGUCGGCCCACAAUCAGCGGAAGAGAAGAUACAGGGGUCCAACUCCCACAAGCGCUGAAUCCUCCUGUUUCUGUAGGAGUCCUCUGCGUCUUUGAAGGUAGCAGCCUUAUCUUUAACGACCUUGAGGAGAUGCCUCUUCAUGGCCAGAAGAGAAAGCAGCUCCCCCCUGAAAAUAAUAUUGUUCCUGUUCUUCCAAAUGAUGUGACAGAGCGCACCAAAAGAAAAACGGGCAAAUACUUUUGUAGAACUCCUUCCCGAGAGCAAAGAGAUAGCCCAACUAAGAGUCUCCUCCCAAGUCCUAUGGGUCCAAGGAAGAUUGCACCUAGCAGCCCAAAAGAAAGCAAUACUCAAAGUAAUGCGACAUCCAAAAAAGAGGUGAUCGAUAGAAUCAGGCACCUCGUUGCAAAAAGCACAGGAAGCAGCGUCAAUCCUACCAUGGGACAUGAGAAGAGACUGUGUAGACAGCCUUCGCUUGGUGAUUAGCCAAAGUUUAAGUUGAUAUCGAGGCAGGAUAGCAUUGCUCCAGAUGAACCGAUGCCAUCUGUCUCUCUCCUUCUUCCGCCUUAUGGUCUCCCAAGCCGAGGCAACCGAGAACACACCCGUCGAUUUCUAAAAGGAGUAUUUGAUGUUGACAAUUAUAGAAAAAUACCAACUUAUUUAUCAAGUCGAAAAUCUUUCCAACUCUAGAUGGGACUAGACCUUUUCAUAGGACCAGGGAAAUCAAAAUACCAUUUCCUCAGCUCUUUGACCUCAGCUAUAGGAAAUUAGUUGCAUUCUUAGGACAAGUGCGAAAUAUUCCCGGAUGCGUUUAUUUGAUGCAUCCAGCUCCAGCACGUACUCAAAUUCAUCGUUUUAGAAUUCACUAUCAACAAAUUUUUGGCUUUUUAUGCUCAAGUCAUUGGAACAUCUUUGCAUUUUCACAUACACAUUGUUGGAAUAUUUAAAUAUCAGUUUUCAUCUAAUAUUAUAAACUUUUGCUUUAGACUUUCUAUAUGGUAUCAAAGCGAGUUCAAAUCUUUCCAAACCCUCUAUUUGCCUCCCCAAUUAGGCCUAAGUCCACACUACGUAUGAGGGAGGAGUGUUAAAAUAUUUAGAUAUUAAACUACACAGUUAUCUAACUGCUAAAGCUUUUGGAUUGGACAAAAAAAAAAUUCCAUCAAAAAAUACUUCGCAUGUAUUUCCUUUCAAUCAAAAAUUACAAUUGAGAUAGAAUUGCAAAGUUUUCUCCUAAUACAGUGAGAUAUUGCAUAAUACCAUUUGUGACUAAACCAUAUUCCAAUCAUCAUCACCACUUCCAUAGUUUUGAAGUAGCGACCGUAGGCCAAUGCUCACACUUGGAGCAUCUUUCUUUACCACAACAAUUGGCACAGAGGAAGUAGCUGUCGUCAAUGAAUCUGUUCGCUUGUCUGAAAAUUUCUCAGAAAGUUUCCUCUUUCUGAGAGUACUGCUCAUUGAUUCAUCAUUAUUAGUUGAAGGUUAAGUCAAAUCUUCCUCCUCCUUAAAAUCUUCAUCUUCGAUCCUACGAACAAAAUCUUUGGAUGUAUGGAGUACAAUUGAUUUGAGAAGCACUUCAUCCUCUUCCUCCAGCUUAUUUUCCUUUGCUGCAGAUGUACCUUGUAGAACCUCCAAUAUUGCAUCUACGUCCACAGUUGCCUGUCUAGACUUCAUUGAUUUCAAUUCAUCAAGUCUAGCGAGAAUAUCCAUCUCUCUCUUGCUAUCAUGUGUCUGAUUCUCCAAGCUCUUCAUCGCAUCACCAUCUCUUUGGCCUACCUCCUUCUCAUUCUCCAUUACCUCAUCCUGCUUACGCCGGGGCUCAAAAUUUCUUAUCACUCCUAACUCUACAAUGUAAACCGAAUUCUGCAGAUCAGUUUUGAUUGUGAGCUCAGCAGAGCAGUUGGUGCAUUUGAAGUAAAAUCUGAAUAUCAGAAUCCCCAAAUAAGUCUAGCAUAUGACGACCUCCUUCAUGGAAUUGAACUUGGUCCCCUUGUAGAUUUAAUUCCCGCAGGUGUUGCAUCCGAUGCUCAUCAAAAGCAUCAUCCAAACCUUAAUCUGCUGACUUUUGGGCCUCCCCAACCUAGGCAGCUCCGAGGGGUCGAAGCCCGGCGGGUAAUAUUUUUUUAAACACCUUUCGUUCCCCCAUUUCUUCUUCUCUCAACUCCAAACCAAGACAACGAACGCUGACGCCACAAAAUCUCUGCCCCUCACUCUGAUCGACUAAUUUUUAAACAAAACGGUCGAAUUGAUUUCACUACCAGAAUGGUGUGGAACCCACAAGUUCUCGAUCUACUAACCUCGAUUAAGGUUCUAUGCUCGGAUCAAACCUUAAACCCCACGAAACCAUCCGAAACAAGCUGAAGAGCAGGAGAAAAAGGAGGAAACGAAAACUAACAGAGUCUGCUAAGGCGCGUAGGAGAUGACGAGCGUCCGUGGAAAAAAGGGGGAAAAAUCAGUCGAAGCUUCACUCACCUCGCGAUGCCGCCUCUUGCGCAGUAUAUUCAAUCUCGCCGGAGAUCAAACGGCGGCGCGAGGAUGUUCCAAGGGUGGCCGGAGGUCGGUGGUGGCGUGGCGUCUCAGGUGAUCGGCUUCGGGGAGGGAUGACGGAGUUAGGGGGGAAAUACAGAGAGAGCAAAAGCGGGCCGGAGAAAUUUCAAUUUUUGGAUAUUAGUAUUUAGUAAUUUCUCUGUUUAAUUAGUAAUUUUCAGUUAAUAACUUCCUCCUCUAACAAGUAAAUAUGCAGAUAAUGAUGUGGCUCGAAAUUAAUAAUAUAUGUGCACGGUGGACACCUUAACUUUUACAAAAUUGCAAUGACAUUUUUAGCUCGAUAACAGAAGUCUUGAAAUUUCAUCCGUUUUUUAAACUCAUGAUAUCAAAUAAAUUACUCAUAAAUAAAUUUAAAUAACAAUGUAAAAUGACUUUUUGAGCUGUUUAAAGAUUCAUUAAGUAUGAAUAUCAUUCUUGAGUUUUUAACUUAUUUAUAAAUAAAUCUGAAUUACUUCGAGGAUAUAUUACAAUCUAUGAAUUAAUAUAUGUGACAAUUCGAAUAACUUGAGAAAAUUGCUAGUGUGGAAAAUCUGAGUGUCCGGAAUUUAUUAACAGUGAUUCGAGAAAACAAGAUUAUGGGUUCUUAAAUUACGUAAAGAUUCGCAGCAGAAGGUUUGAUGCAUCCAAUGGCAAUACAUAAGACAAAUUUGAACAAAAUAUUAAAAGCAAAAUGUAUAAUACAUGCCUUCUUGAUAUUACAAAGUUCAAAAAAUCAAAUUCAGCAGAACAAAAAAAUCUUAUACAGCAUUUGACAGGGAAAGAGGAGGUGUCAAGUUGACAGUAUAGACAAUGAACGACCCUCUUGUGCAAGUUCAUGCAGCACAAAGGAGGGGAAAAUCACAUCUGAAGACGGUAGCGAGGGACGUGAGCUAUCUGAGUUCCCAUCCUAAUGAGGAGGCCUUAUGCUGUCUUCUCUUUCCUUCCAGCCAGAAUCAUCGAAAUCUGAAGGCCUCUGCUGAAUGCUUGGUUGAAGAGGAGCCGGAUUUGGAACUCCGAAACGAAGGGGAACCACGACAGAACCGCGAUCGGCAUGAACAGCAACAACCCCAUUGUGUAUUCGUACGCCCUCGCCAGCUCCUUCAACGAAUCCCAGAGUCCGCACCAUUUAAGCAACGGCCUGCAUGCUUGCCCAAUCUGUCGAGAGCAAGAGAAGAUCGAUCUCAUUAGUUUUGCGGUCCUAUAGAAAGCGCAUGGAGAGGUCACGCAGCUUGAAAAUUUACGGAGGACUAAUCAUGAUAUGAACGUGAGGAGUGCUUUGUGCAAAGGUAGUUGUGACUUGGGCAAGUCGAGAACAACCCACUGCAUACAUGAAGCUUCUUUUAAGAUUGCACUAGUCCAGACUUACCAGAAUAAGAGCCCAGCCGGAAGGUAAAAACGCAAGGAUGGCAGCAAAUAUAUCGGAUACAACGAGUCCACACACGACGAAUAAGACUGUCAUAACCGACACGAAUCCAAGGAAAAGAAGUGCUUUCAGGAUCCUAAACAUGAGCUGGAAGUCCGUACUGAAUCUUCGUCUUCCCAUGGAUACCAUCUGAAAACAUUAAGGCAAUAAUAAUUUGCAAAGGAGAACACGUUUGUUGCAGUUUGAUUUAAAUAAGGUAACAGAAAAGCAGCAGACAGUAAAAAUGAUCAACUGGACUUUAUUCAUGAUAAUGCGUGUGGUUAACGUGCAGAUCUAGGAACAAAACCUCCAUAUAUCAUACUGCGUACCUUUAAAACUAGCAGAGUGGUUAGCAACACCACCCAAGAAAUUCCAUAAAUCUACAAAAGUAAAGAAGUGCCUUAGAGAAUGAUCCUGUGAGAACAAAUCAGCAACAGGAGGAAAGAGAAAAUUGCAGUGAAAUUUAUAGAUUACCAGUAUAGUCUUGCUGUGGCGAACUAUUUGAAGAUGGUACACAAUCCCAUACUGGUAAAUAAAGAAGCGAAAUGCAAGUAUUAUCUCAAGGAUUGUUCCCCUUGGGUUUGUAUGCUUCAGAUGUUCCUGUUCUUCCUCCCACCAUGAUUCCCAACUUUUAUCAGGUUGUAUCCCAAUUCCACCACGAUUACCCAUCCACCUCUUCCAGUCUGCCCAAUCAUCUACAGUCUUUUGCCAGUCAAAACCAGAUGGAUUGAAUAUGAACGGUGCAAACAACCAUGAACCAACCAAGAACCACAUGGAGACAGUGAUGAACAAGUAGAGACUUGAACUGCGGUAUGACUCCCCAUAAACUCCAUAGACAAUCAACAGUAUAAGCAGCUCCAGCCCUUUCACAAAGUGACUUCGUGAAUAAAGCCUGUAAUUAUCACUGAAUUUUGCAUGAAAAACAACAAACCCACGACCCGUUGCUCGAUAUUUGGAUCCUCCAUGUAAGAGUGUUCUUCCAUAAAAAUGAGCCUUUGUUCCAAGUUGAAAUGUGAAAAACACAGAAGCUAGCUGCAGUUGCAUAAUGACAAAAUCACCGAGGGCAGUCCGAAACCCUUUUUCCAGGCCAGUUUCCAUGACCAUGGGCAGCACCAUUAAUAAUCCUAAUUGAAAGACAGACUGGCUAGCCAAGGCCUCUUCGAGAGCCUUUGUGUGACGUAUGCUAGGAUUCUGAAGGAUCUCACUUUCCAACCCACUCAUAACCAUGUACAACCGUCCAUACAAGAAAACAUACACCGUAAGCACGGUAACCUGAAUGAAACAAGUCCAAAAUGGUAAAAAGGAAAGCUACCAUGAAUAAUCAAUGCAAAAUUCAGAAGAAAAAGAACGAGAUAAAAGUCUUGUUGCCUACCGACCAACAUAAUACCCCCCUUCCUAUCUCCAUCCAUGGAAUAAAUUACAGCCCAGAAAAUGAAGUACUAUUCCAAAUCUUGGAACUGUUUUAGCCAAACUGAUAUUUCUGUACUAUUUCAUUAACGAAGUAGAAAUGACAUAUUCAUGGAUCACCUGCCAGAAUUAGACAUCCAAGGAGGAACUGUGACCCCUUUGUUAAGGGACCACCCAUUAAUUGUACUGACUCUCGGAAAGACAGACUGGACCUAGAAUUACCCCCAAGAUUCACAAGAAUUAACUGCUUUGAUUACCAAGCAUUUUACCAUGUGACAGGAAACUGCAAUUACAAAUUAUGAACCAAAAGUUCCAUCAUUUUUUUAAUACCAAAUUGGAAAGAACUAGGAGAGUUGCUGCAAGACGAGUAGAGAGGAGUGGUUGAUUUACCAUACUACUGAAGUAGAAACCGACAGUCGUAAAAUAGAAUGACAGCAUUCUGUAGAAGUCAAAUCGCCGCCCGAGCCGAUAAACAUCACGACUAAGCGUCUGCUCACCAUUUCCAUUUGCAACCUUUGCCUCAAAAAGUGAUAUCUGGUUCAUCCCUACAUCUCGCCCUUUUCCCACUUGAAUAUACUCAUGAUGUGUAAUAAAUCCCCCACGGAGAGUUGAAUUGAACCCUGCAGUGAGAAAUGGUCAGAUUCUGUCCCUGUGAAAUAUCAUAUAAAUAUGCUAGGGUUACCAGAAAAAAUAUCCUCGCUCAAGUUGAUUGUUUUUGAAGCCUUGCUUAUGCCCCCCCGUGUUAUGUGGAAUAACCUGUCAAAUAUAUCAGGAUGGCCAUAAUGGAAACGGACCCUGCAACAAGAGAAUGAGAAACACAAUUGCCUUUAGAUCAUUAUUGGAACAAGCUGAUCUGAACUCUCAGUUAUUGAAUCAGAGUCUCGCUGCAAAUGCAGAGAUAAAUUAUUGCUUGAAAUGUGAGAGUUAGUGGUUACCACAAACAUCAGAUCGGUACUUAGUAUAAAACUCAGACUCUAUACAUACCUUUUUAUUUCCUUCCUUCUUUCUUUUGUUUAAGAUAUUAACAAGGAACCUAUGCUCUUCCUUCCUUCUUUCUUUUGUUUGAGUUACUAACAAGGAGUCGGGAACAUUAGUCCAUUAACUGCACGCUUUCCAGGAUACUUUCGUAGCCAAUUUUUGCAUUGAUUAGCCUCCUGAUAUAUCUUAUCGUGCCCUAUAAAUACAGGUUCCAAUAGCUCCUACACUAAAGUUCUUAAGGGUACAAAGAAUGUUGUACGACAGAAUCAAUCCCACCUAAAUGCUACAAAAGCGUAGACAGAGAAUUUAUUGAAUCUACUAGAAAUAAAGAAACGCAAAGAUUUUAAGUGACAUUUUACUAAAAUAAUGAAGUGUUUGUUAGAUUAAUGGUCGUACAGUACAAUGUUCACAGUUAUAUCCCACAAAAGCAACCCUGACAUUAGAGUUAUGUGGCUUGCUAUAAGAUACAAGAAAAAGUCCACAUGUCCAUAUGCACUCAUUCUACAAUGUGAAUCUCGCUUUAAAUCAAGAAAACUCUUUGCUUCACAUGCAUAGAUAAUAAACGAUUCCUUCCAUAUUGAAAUGUCUGCCACUACUUAUUUCUGAAUAUGUAUUUAGCUGCAUUACAGUCCUUAAUUGAUUGUUGUAAGUAAUGACUCAUAUUCGAUAGGGCUAAAUAAUAAGAUUCAUCAACUUUAUCAAUAUAUAUAUGAGACUUCUUUCCUGUGCAUGGCAGUGGCAAAAGAUAAUCUGCAAGCAAUUCUAGAAAUUUUCUCGUAAGAGCCUAAAAUGAAGAUAGUUCAUUUGCUUUUCGAGAAAAAUAAUGUACUUAUCAAAUUGGAAGGGGUCAAAUAUUAUUCGAACCACCAGAAGAAAAUUUUCAUUUUACUAGUUGCUAGAGACACCGAUAUCGUACUGUAAUUUUUGUUUAAAGAUGUUGAAUUUACAAUACAAUCAUGCAAAUCACCAAACCUACCAUACUGUGGUUUUUGAAUAUCCAUAUUUGCUAAUAAUAUUAUACUCGCAGACAGUGGCUCAAAACAAUCCAAAAAACUAAAGAUUUAUAAUCAUAAAUGAUUCCCAUCGUUUUCAAUGACCAGGCAUGUGAUCCAAAAGUUCUUUCUGCUAGACUAAUGCAAUGCCCUAGCUGCAAUUGUGGAAGUCAGUGGAAGUUUUGAGCUUCUCUAAGAAACAAAGAAGAAUUCGCACAAGUCCACUGAGAUGUCUCUCUCAUCAGCAAAUGAAGUAAAUAUGUAAGGCCAUCGAAAAGAGUAUGUGAAUGUUCAUGUUCAGUCGCAAGAAGGAGCAAAUGACAUAGUCCCACGCAAAAAUUCAGGUUUCAUGAGAAAAUCUGCCUUUCGCCCAAAGAUAGAUCUUAAGAAAAGAAAAAUCAAUGUGUCCGGAGUGCAGACUCCGGUGACUACAAAGAUUGAGUUGACAGAAAUGCAUGAAGCCACAAAUUCUUGGCUUACCUUAGGGGAUUUGCCAAGAUUCGCUGGCCGAUAGUGACAAAGCUGGUCUCCUGAUUGGACAUGAACCAAGCUAGCGAUGAAACACUGUAAAAAAAGUGAAAAAAUAAUGAUCUAACCAUUCGCAUUGGACAAAUCUGCUCUGAUUUCUUUCAAACCAGAUCCUUUGAACUGGAUAAAGCAGCCAAUAACAGAAGAUUUCUGCACAUAUAAGUAUUCGAAGGUUCACCUUCCGGUAAAAAUGUGCUCCCGCAGGCCCAAAAUAGUAGGUUUUCUCUGCCCACGACGCAGCUUUGGAAAUUCCUCCAAUACAUUUCUAAUCUUGAAAGCUUCUUCAAAGUAGUUAUCCUAGAAAUAAGGAAAGCAAAAAAAACCUGAGAUACUUCAUCCUCCUGCAUAUUCCAUGAAAAGACAUAAUAAAGCUACCUGAUUCAUGUCUAUAGUCUGCAGUGCCUCCCCACGAGUAAAGAUGAUAGCAUGAUUUUGAUUUUCUGGUUUUCCUUCACCAAUUUCUGUCGGAGGGCCUGGAAGCUUGAUACGGUAUAUUUCCUACAAAUUGAAUUGAUUAUCCAUUUGCAGAAAAAGGUCCGCAGAAAUCCCACUGAUCAAGAUUGCAUGGCAUUCUUGUUACUCAGAAAUGUGGCCACCAUAUUGAAAUUUGUAUCCUCACAUUAGAAGAGAUGAGUAAAUGUUAUAAUUCAUGUACUUCUUAAAGGUUAAUAGCGUUAUCAGACUGAUUGACGUAUUGAAUACUGAUAUAAUCCCCAUUAAUACAUCCAAGGUAGUUGCUUCUAUAAGGUAGACCAAUAGCUCCCAAUAGCAACUCCUCUCAAAUAAUUAACAGACGGAAUUCCACAUAGGCUUGACAAAGAGCUUAUAUUUCACUAAAUUUUCUUCACGAUAGAAGUAACUGAUCAGAUUAAUUCAUCCUUCUGAGAUAAAAAGUAAACUCAUGCAAUUCAGACACUCUAAAGUUGCUUGACACAUCAUCAUGCAUCCCGAAACUAGUUAAUUUACAAGGUGACUAGUUGCAUAUUUCAAUUGUCAAACAUGUUCAGGCUAAGAAAAGGGUUUAUCAUUCACAUUCAGUCAAAUCUACAUACACCACCGUCGGAGAAAAAUUACCAUAAGUCAAUUACUGGGCUUAGCAUUUCCAAAAUUUGCAAACACGACCGCUUCAAUUUAGCGCUAGUAGUUCCCCAGGUUCAGUGAUAAACGGACAGAAAGUAGAUGGAAGACAGUAGAGAAGCUUUCCAAUAUCUCCAAAAUUAGAGGCGGUGCAAAGGUAGACAGGAAUUACUCCUUCAGUCCCGUGAAAGCAUUAUGUGAAGAAAACAGUAAGGUAAAACCAUCACAUUUUGAAAUUAGAAAGAAUUAACCAUUGAGAGAAGAAUAUAAGAGCUUGAUAACAGAUAAUUUGGGGGUAUAAGACUGUUAUGAAUGAAAUUUUCUUAAUUGUUAGAAUGAGCAGGAUUUUCAGUUGAAGAACAAUAAAUCAACUUUGGAAGUACCAAUAAACUCAGGAAGAAGAAAAUAGGAAAAUGCAAACUUCUGAUGAAAUGGAUGUUGAUUGAAAGAUCUGGAAAAUUUUUCAAACACUCUAAUUUAAAAGUGUUAGAUAAUCCUACUUAAAGAUAUUGUUUUUUUUUCUUAAAUAUUGUUUAACAACACAUAUAAUUGAAAAAGCCACUAAAAACCCUAAACUUUUGCCCAAAAUGACAAAUUCACCCCAAACUUUUUUUGUAACACAAAAAAACCCCAAACUUUCCCAACUAUGAUACAUUUACCCCAAACUCUAUGGCCAAGGACAUUUUCGUGUUUUAAUUUUUAAAUUUUUUUAUUUUUCUUUCCUUUUUCUUGUUUUUUUUAUUUUUCUCCUUAUUCUCUCUUCCCCCGCGACCCAUGGCGGAGGGAAGCUAGACUCAAGGGAGGGCCACCAUCAUCGUCGUCGGGCAAGGGUGCUUGCCCGACCCAAGCGAGGAGAGCCCUCGCGAAAUCCAGCGAGGGCAACCCUCACCCACAUAGGGCAAGGGCAGCCCCUGCCUAGGCCAGAUUUGGCGAGGAAUGCCCUUGCCCAACACUGAAGAGGGCGGCGCUGACCCAAGUCCAGCUUCCCUCCACCGGCCAUGGCGGAGGGAAGAGAGCAGAAGAAAAAUGGAAAAAAAGAAAAAAAAAAUUAAAAAGUAAAAGAAGAAAAUGUCCUUGGGUAAAUAUGUCAUACGGAUACAAGUUUUGGAUUUUUGGUAUCACAAAAAAAAGUAAGUUUCAAGUAAAUGUAUCACAGUUGGCAAAGUUUAAAAUUUUGUGUCACAAAAAAAAAAGUUUAGGUGAAUUUAUCACACUGAAUAAAAUUUGGUAUUUUUGGUGAAUUUUUACCAACGUAUAAUUAACAAAGAAGGAGCCCCACACGCGAUAUAAGACCUAGGGCAGAACAAGUUAGAAAUCUCCACCCAAAAGCUCAAGCUGUUAAGUUGGGAAAGAGCACAUAUAUAAACAAAGACAUAGAAUGCGACAGAAAGUGCAGGAACGUGCCGAUAGUAUUCGCCAUAUAUUUGCGUGUUAGCUUUAGAUGUGCCUCAAAUUAUUGUGUAAAUUAAUACCCUACAGCCACCUGCACAGACUAAGAAAAUUAUACAGCGUUCUGACUAGAAAACCAAAGAUGUAGAAUCAAACGAUAGCCAAAGCAAGAAGCGAAGAUUAGAGGAGUCAUCUAGAUUAUACCCAAUAAGCAGAUUGAUUUCUACCCCACUUGAUGCCUAAUAUUCAACCAUGAGGAAUACUAAAUUCUAACUUACCUCAUCAAGUGAAUCACCUCCCUUCACAAGAACAGAGUAACAACACUUCUGAGAUAUCCCAUUCACCGUCUCCUCUCUUUCGUCUAUGUAAGCAACCCGUAGAGAAGGAUACCUAGAAUAUUUUAGUAUCAUUGAUAUCCAUCAGCCACUUUGGAACUUUCUGUUGAUUACUAUUGAAGUAACAUCCUUAAAACUUACAUCAGCAUGAGGUUCAACACGUUACUGUAACAACUUCUCUCUCUAGCAUCACUGGACUUCUUUUGAUUCCCAUAAACUUGGCAAGAGACAACAUAGGUGAACUUCAAAUCAGCCAGAGCCUGUGCAUAUUCUGUGAUUGCCUUCUCAUCCUCAUCAUUUAGAGCUGCAACAGAGACAUUGAGUCUUGAUCAGUAUCUGGAUGCCACUUCUUAUAGCAACUUUCAAACAAGGACAAAUCAAAAGCUGUAAAUCUGCAUUUCUUUCUUUCAUGUUAGAUGACUAACCGUUAUCUCCAGCUAAUUCAAGAUGGCAUUGAAGUUCUAGAGCUUCCCUGUAGUACAUCAUCCCUCUCACUAGCAGCAAAUGCACAUGGUAAGAACAGUCGCAAAGCAAGAAUAAUUAUGACUUACAAGCAUAGUAAUGCUUCUAGAUAUAUAAAUUCUCAACCUGUCCUAGCCAGAGUCUGGCCUCUGUAAGAGACCCAAGAACGUGUCUCCUGUUCCAUGUCUACGAUUCCAGAUUUUGGAUCUCUUAUCCGUUCAUUAAAAUUGGUCCACUCAUCUAGAUUGCAUGGCACAAGGCAUCAGUCAAAUUGUAUAAAGUGAACAAGUGAAUUAUAACAUACAAAGGGCAAACUUGCCUGGAUAGAUCUUCUGCAGGUAGAACAGAAUUGUAAUUCCAUCCUCGUUUUCCCUAUUAAGAUCGUCGGUGGAAUAGAGGACAUCUUCUUUGUAAUAUGGAGUCAAGACACUGACCAAGACGUAAAAGCAGAGGAGAGCCCAAAAGAAAAUGAUAAAUAGGUAUCUAUUAAACAACCAUCUGGGACACGCACAUAUAUAUCGCGCGCCCAUGCAUAUAUACAGAAAAAUGGUAAAAUGGAGCUUGGAGGUUGAGGAGCUUCAAUCCCUAUAAUCUUUACAUAAAUUAGAGAAAAUAUCAUAAUGCCACCAAGUCGAACCUAGGAUAUCUCUUUAUUACCAUGAGUAAUUAAUCAAACUGGAUGUGUUUUGAUAAAAUGGCUAAUAAAAGUAAAUAAAUCCAUUUAAUUUUUAUUUGAUUUCUCAAUCAGUAGUCAUACAUGAUUGAAAUGUUAGCAUCACCAUCUAUUAAAAAUUUGUAUAUGGUCAUAUCUAGUCUUUUCAAGUCAUCAAUUUAUCUCUAAAUAUCUGUAAGCACAACCAUGAUUUCACGUCAAAACAACUACACAUUUUUAAAAGAUAUGAAAUUAAAAAUGUCAUGAUUCUUUUUUAACUAUGACAAUUAGAAGCACAAAAACUGCAUGAAUAGUGAUUGGAUUUCCAACUUUCUUUUUUAAUCUAUAAUAGCAGCAGUGUUAAUAUACUGCAUAAAAACUCCGUCUAUUGCAAAAGCAAAUCAUUCUAUCAUCAUUUAUUAUCAAUGAGACUAAAUUGUAAACUUAAUGCGAUUUCCAGCAACUGAAUUGAACAAACAAGGUUGCCUCUUUCGAUGAAGCAUAGUAUCUAUUCAUGUAAAAACAGACCUGAAGGGCAGCAUUUUGCGCACUGUCGGAGCACCUGGCAUUUUCAUGAAUAAAGAAUUAGCAAAGAAAGUGAUGCGUCGACGAGCUUCCAAGUUUGAAGGCACGUUGAUGGCAGAUUCUUUGACUGUCAGAAGCAAAUAGAGCCGAACGACCUAGAAGUCAAAGAAUUAGAUUUUACUUACUACGUCAUUACUUGUGGUUUCUCAGACAAAAAAGAGUCAAGCACACCUUUUCUCUGUAGAUUUUGUGUUGUACCAAGCCAAUGUUGAUCUUCUCAAACAUCUGCUCCUUUCUAUCAUUUUUCGUAUGGGUGGGGGGGGUAUAACUAUUUCCUUUUUCCAGGAUCCUACAAGCAGCACAGUCAAGGACACAAACGUUUUGCAUCAACAUAAACAAGCAUGUUUGUCAGAACUUACCCAUGCCCAUUCUCCAUGACAUCCUCGGUGAUUAUCUCCAUGAUGUCUUGGAGGACAUUGAUUAUCUGGGAUUUGUACACUGUUGGGUCUUCAUGCUCACUUAGCUGCCAAAAUAACAAAAGAUGUUAAGAAGUGAGAUAUUCUUGAAACUGAGCUAAUUGGAGGGAAGAAGAGAAAAUGAUUCAACGGUCAGUCCUCCAAGAAUAAUUUUAUAUUCAUGUAUUUAUUGAGAUUAAAACUGAAGUUAGAUAUAGGUGACAAAAACACUUACCAAGAUGGUCAAGAAUUUCUCCAACUUAGUACUGAGCAAAGGCAAUUCACUUGUUUUAAAUUCAAGCAAAAAUCUGCGAUCUUCUAUGCUCUUAUCUACUCCAUAACAGAUUUCCCUUACGAUUCUGUAAAAAUUGAGAAAAGCAUGGUUUCUCAAUAGCCUUAACAGAAGAAAAAUUGCCACCAGUAUGAUACGACAUAUUAAAUAUGGAGUUACAGGCUAAAGUAUAUGUAAGUUUUCUCACUUACUUUCUGUCAGCUUCAUUUUCCAGGAGGUUAUAUAUGAUGUCCCGGAGAGUCUCAUAACAUUCAAUCACUGCUGUAUACAUAUAAUCAUCGUUCUUUAUCCUCUUAAACAAGUCAUCGUCCUCCUUGCGCUUAAAAUCUUUUGCCAUGUCUAAUGCUAUGGGAAUCUUUUGUAUGAAAGAAUAAUGACAAGAAGCCUGAAUUAGAGCAAAUAGAUGAGUAGAAAUCAACUUGUGAAACUAUGCAUACCUUGCUAGCAAGCAAGAAGGGAGGCCAUUGCACAACAGACACAUCAGUUGAAGAAGAUGGUACGAGGAGCAAAUCUCUUUCUCUGGAUUAAUCAGCCAAUGGAAGUGUCAGAGUAUCCGUUUGAGGCAGAAGACUGAAGCUAAAAUUGAGGAAGUGAAAUUAAUUCCUAAUUAUACCUGUCGCUAAUUAGGUCUUCCUCUCUCAUAGUCUGAAUAAAUUUGUUCCACAUUCUUGAAAAUUUUGCAAUAUUUUUCCUCAGCAUGGCUUCACCCUACCAUGGAAAAGUAGAAAUGCAUCAUAAACAUGAUUUUAUAAGAAAUGACACCCCUAAAUCUAUGAAGCGGCCAACAAAAAAGAAACUUAUUGAAUAAAGAUUCUAUGAAUAAACAUGGAACAUUAGAUCAACCAACAAUUGGAUAUACCUCUUGGCUCCUCCUGGUUUUCUUGGCAUCCGAUGAUGAUGAUGAUGAUGAUGGCAAAAGAUGUUCACUAAAAGCUUUGGGCACGGUUUCAAAUCUGGACCGCAACAUCCCUAGUGUUCGUAUCUUGAGAAAAGCAAGAAGGUAUUAUAAGCAAGGAGAAGUAUAUAGUAUCCUUAACCAUAAACCUAAGAGCUAAACUGUCUGUGUCAUGAAAAUUGGAAAUGCUUCAGGCAUUCUAUUUUUGCAGGAAGAAAGAAUUGUCGCUCACCUCGCCCAGAUGGCUAAAAGCACCAUGAAUGCCACCAAAAAGACUAGAGAAUAUGGCAUACCAAAUUUGUGUAUCCAUAAAAUAGACCUGAGAACAUAUCGCACAGGGCAUAUUGUCAUUAAAUACGGCAUACGCUAGAUUGGGAUCAUGACAAAACUACCCAGUCUGCUUACAAGAACUAUAGGGGCCCAUAUUGCAAUAACAACUCCAAUGUUAUGUGUCUUUGCAGCUGCAGAUGAAUAUUAGCACAGGCUUUUUCCCCCAGUUAGAAAAUACUAGAAACAUCACAAGAGUUAAAAGAAAACUUACAAUGUGGAAAAAACUCGUGCCAUUGAUAAUUAUCCAGAUGCAUCUCCAAGAUUAAUUGUGUUGGUCCAACAAGUGGUGAAAUCUAUGCACAAAAUACGCAUGUUUAAAUCUUUUAAGGAGAAAAUUGGAGAGCAGAAUGCUGCAGAGUAGCUACAUCUCCUGAACCACUAAAGCUAACAACAUCCACAAUCACAAACGCUCCACAAACAACGACCCCACAAUCAACUAACUGGAUAAAAUUUUCCUUUAUUCUAUGGACAUGCGCAAAACUAUCUUGACACGGUAUCAAGGCAACACUCACUUAUUCCACCAACGAUGCAUGCCUUGAAACAAGACUUGGGACCUCUUUCAGCAAGCAACUAAUAUGAAUUUCUAGAUGACACAUUAAAGUUUAUAUAGCUUUGAGCAAGACUUGCUGAUUAGUUAACAUACUUAUGUACUUAUAUCUCCCUGUAUGUGAUUAUUCAAGAUUUAUUCAUCACCUAGUCUGCCAUUUAUGUCGUCCUUUAAGUCAAAAUGUCAUACUAAAUCUGUGAUAGCUUAUUCUCAAGGAAAGCAGCAUCAUCUGUGAAGACAAGAUUGCCAGUACUUCCAUCAGGUGGGUAUUUCUCCAAUCUGUGACCUAUUUAAGGUGAUCAUUUGGGUAUUCUACACUAAACUUCUAACAUCAGAAAGGUUAAAUGAUGUGAUAAGAGAAUUGAUUCUAGCUCAAUUGCAUCAACUUUCUCCAAGCAAGUUUCACUGUUCAAUUUUACCGAGAUAACAAAGCCAGGAGUUAUAGAACUUAUAUGAUCUUUAAGUAAGAAAAGCAAACCCCACAUAAUCCAAACAACUAUAACUUGAUAAAAGAUGAUAACACCUCAACAUAGUAGCUGAAAGCCAGCUUGCAGACAAGCAGCAUGAUCCAAAACAUGGUGUACCUAAGACACAAACAAAACAAUGUACGAUCAGCAAGACACUCAUAUAAAAUAUGAAGCAGCACAUAUCUUUUUACUUAGGGUGAUAGGUCUAUGUCCGAAUACUGCACUUAAGCACAAACUCAAGAACUAGCCAAGAAGGUUUGUCCUUGAAAAUAAGAAAAAGAAGACAGUGCUGACAUAGCAAACAUUGUUUUCAAAUUAAAACAAAUCAAAGCAUAAAUACACAACGUAUCUUCUUACUUCAGCAGUGAAAAUAUGUCCUCAUGCAUGCCUCUCCCCACAUAAAGCUUUGGCUGCAUAAUGUGAACAUUCAUUUCAGGGGAAGAAAACAGGAUAAUGCAAACAAUUGAGUAAGGCCCUUAGUAACGAAGUGGUAGUCUAAUCCAUCUACUUGCCUGAGCCCACCACAUAAGAACAGUAAUAGGGAACAUACUUGAACGCUCCAUGGUCCUCCUUAAGUAAGGAACGAAGAAAAGUAUAGCAGCUAAGACAUUUGGAAUCAUAUAAAUUGCAACGGCAUAAUAAAAGAGCGACUGGUUCCUCCAAUCUUGACCCCAGGUGCUGAAAAAUUUCAGGACUCCUGUUCGAUACUGCAUUAGACUAGAGUAACUAAUUGGCAGAACCACAGCCCAAACGGCUGCCAUUACAAAUUUCAGAAUGUAUCGGAGAAUCUGCGUAUAUCUCAUGCUUUUCCAGGCAUUUAGACUUAGAAUUAUAUCCAGACUUGCUGCAGAAGAGGAAAGGAAGAAGGCGGUGUCAGUAAUGAUUUUAUGCUACGUGGCUCUUAUAAAAUUUGCCAAGACAUAUGCAAGUAGUCAAAACGGGUCGAGGAUGACAUAUUACAUGGUAACUAUAGAGAUAUAUUAUAACAAGGUCUUUCCUAAGGAUUGCCUCUAAGAUUGACAUAUAAAACUUGAGAUAGCUAGAAACGCCUUCUCCUUAUCACAACGAUUGGAUUUGCUGCAUUCUCUAUAAAGAAGGCUGCAAGGCUAAGCAAUUAUUCUCCUUCCUAAGGCUGAACCGGUUUUGGAAAGUCCUAAUGAUAUGUAGAUUGCAAUAUAAUGAAUUUUCAAAUGGACUUGCCCACAUAGUAAAAUCUUUCAUAAAGAAGUGGACCAUUAUCUUCUUUUUUCGUAUACUCUGAUAAUACCUUCUUGAAUUCUGCUCGAUGACUUUGAUGGCUUGAUGGAAUGGAGAUUCCCUCAAAUGUUACACAAUUAUGUGAGUAUUCUCGCCAUCUUUUUCUAUUUCUUACACUAUCUAUUACAAACUUUUGGUUACAGACUUAUCAAUCCCUCUUAUAUAUUGGGCUUAUUCUGUUUCUCUCUUGAUUAUUUUAAUUCUUCUGUUUCUCAUGCAGUUUUGCCGGAGAUGAUAGAGAUUGGAGAGGCAUCAAACAGGAAAUCGCUCUACAAAUGGUCAAAGGUACUCCUCGAUUCUCUUCUAUAUACUUUAUAUUAUGCAAAAAUAAAUUUGAUAUGAAUCGGCUCCUAAAACUUUAUGUCAAUGAAAAUUUACAUUCUAAAUCAUAAAGAACAUGAUUCGAGGUAACGUAUGAUGCCCACUGGGGAUGCCGAGGCAUGUCUAUAGUACACGCUGACAUUAAUCAUGACAAUAUAUUGUCCCCUUUUGAAUAUAUGAAGCAUGACAUUUUCCCUUUUCUUAAUUUGAGAAAUAUGAAUUUGAAUAUGAUAUUUUUUUUCUGGCAAAGGAAAUGUUGGUAUUUUUUCACUUACUAUCACAAAAUAUAGGAUAUUAAAAUCACUUUGUCUCAUUAAAAUGCCAGUCACAUUUGACUAGUGAUUUCUGAUUUAAGUGUUUUUACUUUUUGAAUAGUGAACCUAUGCUCUACUCCAAAACAACAUUAUUGUGAAAGAAGAGAAAGAUUUGUGUGCCUCAUUUUUUUUUUUUUAAUCAUUUGUAUUUAACUAACAAGUUUCUGCUUCUUUUUCAAUUUACAAAGUUGUGGCCUGUAUAAAUAAAUGGGCCUGAUAACCUCAUAUACAAUGAGAAAAGAUUAUGAGAGUUUGUCUGAACUUUUCCUUCCCCUCUUCGCCUUCCCCUAAUAUUAAAUUUUUUAUGCUCAUUUACAUACUUAAAUAUAUAUCUUCUUUAAUCUUAUUUAGUUAGUUAUCACUCCAUUUGUUUCUAUUUUUUUUUUCUUUUUGCAAAUGCACACUCCUAUGUUGCUGAGAGAAUCGAGAUAUUUAUGUUUUGUCGAUGUCCACAUGUGAUGUAGACGUAUCUUUAUUGGUAUGUAUCUACUUUACAGGAUAAAAGAAUUAUUAAGUCUUGGUAUUUAAGAAUUUGUUCUACUCCCAUCUUUUUCCUCAAUAAUAAGAUUACCUCUAACUACGUCUUGGACAUAUUAUAAAGAUAUAGUAAUGAGUUCUACACAUUUCUAUUUAACUUAGGUCAACUUUUAUAUUGGUCAUUUCCUUGAUAUUUCAAUCAAACAUGAUUUUUAUCAUAUCAUGGUUAUCCUGCACAAAGCGCUGGCUAAUGUCUAGCCUUAUUUUAUAUGUAGCAUAAACUAGCACAGUCAGUCUACGGUAAUAAUGGGGAAAGAUACAUAAUGUACAAACAUCACCAUACCCCUCAGAAAGUUCAGGAAAGCAUGAGUUAUGAAGAUGGUCAAAACUUGUCUGUAAACAUUCUCGUGGAAGAGAGCAGUGACAGACCCAGUAAAUGCAACAAUUACCAUGGCCUGAACCAAGAAAAUGGAGCUUGGUUAAUUUCUUGCAGAGAAAGUCUACAACAUUAUGCUGCUCAACGUCAACGCUACCUGCAAUGCCAAUAUAAGGAAUAUCCACAUCCGAUCAAAACUUCUGUAGAGGUGCAAAAAGGUGCGAACUUCCACAAAAUUAGUUUUGGGUUGCUUCUUCCGGAUAGGACGCUGGCUGACACGCUGCAAUAAUAUUAGUAUAUACAUCACCAUGGGUUCUUUCUUUUUAUUGACCAGGAUCAACAUGGGUUCGUAGACAUGCCAAUCAGAGAAAAAUAUCAAUUUGUGGUAUUUCGUUGUGCUCCAUCCCCUAAUUUUUCGAUUUCCUCAUAUAAUUUGAUAAACCACGAAACUUCUAGAUGUUUUCUUUUAGAAAAACAUCGUGAUUUGGAUAAUCUUGGUUAGCCAUUAUAUCCAUGUACGUUGUCAAAGAAACUAGCUUACUAUUCGCACUAGUAAGAUUGCUCCUGAUAGGUACAGUGCUGAAAACGCAAAAGUCUCAGACGUAUGGUGUACAAAGAAGUGCAAAAUGGGCUCAGAAUUUAUAAUUCGAAAUUCACUACAUCCCUGGAGAGAAGAAGCUACUAAAAUCUAUUUAUAGCUUCAUCACUACCUAUUUGAUAAAAAAUAAAGGCAUUCAAAUCAAACAAGCUGUUAUAUUCUGACGAUGCUAUGUUCCACUUUUGAAAUUGGGAGUUUAAAACACAGAACCAAUGAUUAAAGGAGUCGACACAGUGCCUAUUGGUGAAUGCCAGUGAUGCAAUCACUUUCCUGAACUAUAAUUUUCAAUUUCACCCAGUCAAUGGAGAGAAGGAGCUAUUAAAAUCUGUGUAGAGAUUUUCUUGAUGCCAAUUUAAUCAAAUAUACAGGGAUUCCUAUCAGACAAGCAUUUUAAAUUCUAACAAUGCUGUGUUGGCCUUUUGGAAACGGGAAGGACACAGAACCACCGCUUAAAGGAGUUAAGCAAUGCUUAUUGCUGAAUCGCCAUAAUCUGGCCAAGAGAUGUAAUCACUUUCCUGAGCUAACCUUUUAAGAAAUGGAAACGGGGAGAAAAAUCUGAUGACAAAGGUAUCAAUGGCACUGCUAAACAAGAGAAAAGAAAAAUUCUUUGGAAGCUUGACUGCUCGGCCAAUUAUCAUUGUGUUAUCUAACAGGUUAACCAAAUUGGAAAGUGGUUUCCGGUAACAUUUUCCUUGUUUAGCUAGUAAGUCAUAUAUAUAUAUAUAUAUAUAUAUAUAUAUAUAUUAGUGGACAAUGAAGAGUCACAAAAUUGAGUGGCAUCCGAUCUCCCAUGGCCAUAAGUUGGACACAGAAUUGACACAAAAAGCUGCACACAGCAUGCAUGCACGCACGCAAGCACACACGCAGAGGGAGAAAAAGGAGUACAGCAUUUGCAGUUUGAGGAUCGUCUGGCCCAAAGAAAUCAGCUUUCAUAUUCAACGGCCAUUCUAGAUCAAAACACUUGUCGGACCUGAGGAAAUUGAAACGUGAAUUAACUGACUUGCUUCUGCCAGAGUCAUAAAGCUAUUCAUGCUCAAAAGAUAUUACCAGAAGUACUCGUUUAGGUCGUCAUAAUUUCUCCAUCUUGAAUGGCUUGCCUUGCCUCCUUUGUUUCUCUUAGCUUCCUUUAACCAUGAUACUCAAUUUUCAGAUCUCAACAUGGCAAACAAGAAUUUGAGGCAUCAACUGAGAAGGAACAUACCUUGCGAAGGACGUCGUAGAAAGGGGUUAUUACAUCCCUCAAAAAUGACUCGUCAUCAGGUGCUGCCAAUUUAUAUGUUUCUCCACUAACUGCAUGAACAUUACCAUUCAAGAUGACGGAAACAUCAUCCGCCAUCUUGUUCCAUUGGACAAAGAGGAGGUUAAUAUCACAUAACCAACAAGGAAAAAAACUUGCUAGUAAAUGCAUCGUAUACAAGAAAGAUAAGCUUGACUUUCAAUUGCAACACUUUUCGACAGAAGAAUCAACUCCAUUAAGAAAAGUUAUGUCUUGUCUUUACUCCAUAGGAAAAGCUACUUGGUUUCUUUGCUGAUCAAAAUGUAAGAUCUGCCGCAUUCUUCUCCAGUAGUAAGUAAUACAUCAAUUCAAAGAUGUGAUCAACAAGAAGAAAAUCGAUGACAUGUUAUUAGAAUGCGAUUAAAAUACAAACAAAAAUUUCUAAGGUUGCAAUUUUGCUCUUGACAGGUUCAUUUCAAUGGCUGAUUAAGCAGAUUUUGCUUCAGCAAGGAAGAGAUUAUCGAAGUUGGGCACGAUGAUGGAUAAGCACCAUAUUGAACGACCCGAUUAUCCCAAAGAAAAUUGUCUAGUAGUUAGAUGGAACAUAAUCAGCUUUUACUCUAGCUGAUUAAGCAGAUUUCUUCCAUUAAUAGCAAACUCUAAAUAUGUUUGAGAUGACUUCUAUUCAUCAAGUAAACAUAAUAUGUGCCUCUGGAUGACUACAAAGGACAUAGAUAUUGAGAUAACCAUAGUACGCACCCUGUGAAAGAUAUAGCAGAGACAUUCAGGCAUAAAUCGAACAUUUGAUGCUUCACCCCAUAUUAGAAGAUAGAGCGCGAUGUAGAUAAGUUGCAACUGUUGUCUGUCACGAUGUGGGGGAAACCUGGAAAAACGGUGGUUUGCCAAAACAUUGAGCAGACUUGCAAAUCAGUUAUCCCAUGGCACAACAGAUGGUGAUUGUUCCUUUUCAAUUUUCAUAUGAAAGAUUUAUGUGAUAGUAGGGCAGAAAAGCUUACUCAAGAUUGUGCUUCUGAUGAAGAUAAUUACACCAGGAUCGAUAGUUCUUGAGAAUUUUUUCCAUCAGCUGAUCAACAGUGUGAUCAUUCAACUGCAGGAGGCAUAUGUCCAAGAUUGAAUCACACCUCAUUUUUAAGUGAACUCUGCUAUUUCUAUAUAAACCUAUGCAGAAAAAUGAUGUACAUACCUCAGUGAAAUUUUCAUCAUCUCUAUCCCUUAUCUCCUUGUUGGCAAGUAAAAGAAUUAAAUGCUCCCUCUGAUUUGCCACAUUUCCUUUCUUCAGCAACAAGAUGAGGAUCCAUAUUUAGUCAGAUAAUGUAUAAUUUCCUUCAUUAGAGAUUCCAGAAAGCAAAGGUGACCUAUGAAACUAAUUAGAAAGGUCAAAAAGUGAUAAAACUCUAUUCACCUUGAGAACCCACGGAAGGCUAAGUCCACUACAUAGUGUUGACUAGGCUAUAUAGGUAAAAAUGCACCUUUCCACAUGAGACGUGUUAUUACUUCAUGUAUUCAAAACACAAAUGCUAGAAAAGCCAUAAAAUCCUUGACAUCGUAGUUAGCCAAAAUCAAAUUUAAAGCCCAACGUUGCCGGUGUCAUUUGCAAUAUCAAUGUCAAUAACCUAGACCAAACUAGGAUGUCAAGGUUCAUAUGUUUCAAGGGAUACAAUCAGCAAGACAAUUUUGUCAGAAACAUACUGUAAUGUGUAACAAAAUGUUAGAUUGGUAAUUCUCACAUAUAAGUUUGUGAAACCACUUAUCAUGAUUCAACUGCUAAGGAAUGGGCCAGAUAAUUCAGGCAAUUCGAGUCCUUAGAAAUGUUUUCAAAACCAAACAGGUGUGAAACCGAGAGGUUGGCAAUUCGCAAGAUAGACAGUGAGAUCAUCUGAACCGUUCAGUUUAGUUAAACUGAGUCAAAUAUGUGAUAUAGUGAAGUAAUCACACAACUGAUUUGGAUCAGAGCGCGUGCACUUUUAGCUCUUAGAGAUCGAGGAUUCAGCCUCCGCAACACCAGUGGGCAUUCUUUCUCUGAAGGGGUUCAGUUUUUUUGGUCUAAAAUUAUCCACACAAAUAAGUUGCAUGUGCAGCUGGAGAAGAUCUGGGCUCAAAUCAAUGGCAGGGCACGGUUCAAACCCCAGCUCAGCCACAUGUCCUUUACUAUCCAAAAGUACUCGAGCCUUACCCAUCGUCAAGUGACCAGUUCAAACGGACCAGUCCGGUCUGGUUUCCCAAAAUUUGGUAGUAGGCCAAACUUGCCGCAUGGAAAGGUUGUUUGACAUCAUUUAAUUAUGAUAUUGUGUUCUACUAUUUCCAGCAUUACUUGAGCACCAACAAAAAAUUUCUUUGUCAUUGUGAAUGGUGCAUAAGCCACCUUUUCUCUUGUACAAUAUAAACAAGUGAGAGUACUAUCAGCGCACUAUGGGGUCGGAGAUUAUGCGCAGCCCUAGAAUCAGCUUGCUAAAGGAGGACCCGAAGCAAUAUCAAGGCACAAUAGUGGAUUCAAAUUAUAAUAGGACGUUCAAGACAAGUUUUACCUGGAACCCAAAAACAGAUGAAAGCCAAUCAAGUAUAUCAGUGUUGGACUGGCUGCUCUCCUUUGGAACUACCAAAUUAUCAUCCUCAACGUUUGGCCCUCCAUGAGCUUGGAGCAUUGGAAGGUUGUCCACAUUGCGUAUGCCCCAAAGGGCAGCCUUAAUCUAGACUUUUCAUAAAACUUGAUGAGUAAUACAGCCCACUGUUGAGAAAAUCCAAUGCAAACCUUUCAUAAAUUGAAAAUUUACCUCAGGAAGUUCCAUAAUUGCAGGUUUAACCCCAAUUGCAUGUAAUGGCAAAAUGUUGUAGUGUACAGAUUGCUCUCUUUUUCUCUCAACUUCUUCAGCAUACCUUUUUGUCUGUAGAGCAAAAGCCAAUUGCAGAUACCAUUAUUCAGUGCUUGCCACAGAGAAGAACACAAAGAUGAAUACAGGCUAGGAAACUAAAACUCUUUCACUGGAACCUGAUCAUCAAGCUUUGAGGGAUGCACCACGGUUGUCAAAACAUCAUAUAAUACUGUAGCAAUCUGAUAUAUCUUUGCCAUUUCUUCCCUUCAAGAAUUAAUAGCAAAAAGAAGAAUCAAUAAAGUGAAGAGAUUCGUUCGCAGUUGAUCAAAUAACAGUAGAGCCUUACGGCUUUUUGGUAUAUUGGGCAUCUUUGAUAUUGUUUUCAUAGAACAUCUGGUAAUACAUCUGGAUUUCUCUAGGAUCACUUCUGGCAAGCUGAAAAUGCGUCUCUUCUUCUUCCUACAGAAUUAGAAUGUCAGACAUUAAACAGGUUUCAUACAAGUUACAACCCAGUCCCUCUGCUGGUUUUUCCCCCACCAAGGCUAAAUUCUGUGACGUAUUGUGCACAUAAUACAAAUGAGGGAAUAGGAAGAAAAUAAUAUAAACAAUUUUGCCUACAAACUAUAAGAAGAAAUGGUGACUGAUGACGAGAAUGUAAUAUCAUUAUCAACAGCCAACAUGCCUAACAGCAUUGGCGCAACAGCAGGGCCAUAGAUAAGUAAAAGACAUUUCAAGCUACCAAAAAUAGUGACAUCUAGAUGCUCUUUACAUUCAAAUGCCUCGUUAGGCUGAUACCCCUACAUCCUCCCUUUUUCUAACCGUCAACUUGAAUGAUAAAUGGCACCAACAUAUGAGGUUAUUUAUAAGUCAGCAUCCCAUGAAAUUGGGCCUUCCAGUUGCAAGAUUUAGGUCAGAUAUAUCCAACAUCAUAUGACUUGUCAGGAUUUCCAAGAAAACUUCAAAUGAGAAGACAUAGAAGUACAUGACAUUUCAGGUAAAAAAAAAUUGAUCUCAAAGGAUCACGCACCAAAUAAUGCUGACAAACUUUGGUCUCGGUAGUUCAAUCCCCUGAUUCAGGGAUCAACUAACUAUAAGUCAAACAACUCUGACGUCAAAUCAAGUCAUUGAAUCCGUAGUGCUUAGGACAAGAGUGGCCUAGGGACUAAAAAUGGUGCAACUGUGGGUUAUGAUUGUUGGACAAGUGAUCAGGGAGGUGGGUUAUGAUUGUUGGACAAGUGAUCAGGGAGGUUUCCGGACGGAAAUUCUAGCCCUCGAGCACCGAUUGCUACUCUAUGUAUAUGCAGUUUCGGGGGGCUCUCUAUAGUCUAUGGUCCCUCGAAGAACCAAUCCUCAAGAAUUGGAAGCUGUUAGAUCCCUAAUGAAUAGAUCGUGGUUGUUCAUUGAAAACCCAUUAAGAGUUCAUGCAUUACAGCACAAUGUAUAGGAAUUAUGACAUAAUACACUUGGGCAUGACUGUGGACAGUUCCUCAAUGGGACCAUGGAAGCCCCCACAAUUUCAGAUAUGGCUUGGUUAACUCUACUACUGCACAGUACUUGAAAAUAAGUCUUGGGGAGUGUAUCAGUAAGGGUUGCAAUGCAACAGCUUCAUUUCUAAAUCUGUCACACUCAAUAAUGGAGAUAUUCAAAGGGCAAUAAUCACAAAGGACUAUAUUGAUGUGGGAGAUUAAGAGACCCAUUUUGUUCUUUGAAAGACCAUUUUCCCAGGCAGAAGAUAUGAGGAUGAUAAAGCUUUAUAAAACCUCACAAAGGACUGUAUUGAUGUGGAAUUUUAUUAUGGAGCUCUCAAUAAUUUAUGAAUAUUGUAAUCCCUUUCCAUGGAAACAUAAGGAAUGCUAAAGCUCCAUCAAAGGUCUGUUAUUUUUAUUUUUUAUUUUUUCAAUUCUGAAAUGUGAUUCUAGGUAACAAUAAAGAAAAAAUACGACCUGAAGCUUAGGAAAAUUGUAACGGUCAAUUGGUUUUCUCUGCAAAAACAAUUGGUACAUCUGCUUAUUCAGUGGUUGCUGACAUUUAUCACAUUGUUGGAUCUUUCAGCAGGGAUAUCUCGGGUCAUGCCCUACUGUAAUAAAUGCAAUCAGAAGCUGCAAGGCAUAUCAGUCGGUUUUGACAAGGACUGUGGAACUCAGUGCCAUCUUGUGUAACAUGGACUAUCUAGUUGGAGAAAACAGAAAGGUUUUCCAAAGCUGAUUGCUAUUGCUCACAAGUCGGCUGUGGAGUGAUAUUCUGCUUGAUUGUAUAGCUUCUUUUUUAUUUUCUGAUACUUUCCUAUGUAUAUACAUCCAGUCUAAUGGUAUACUCCUUGUUUAUGUCUGAGUCCACUUAAACAAUCUACAACUGCAAAUCCAUGGUAAUAUCGCUCAACAUGAUUUUCUCACAUCUUGAUAGCUUAGUAAAUGUGGAAAUGCAGUCUCCGGCCAUCAGAUCUAACAACCACAGUCACAUUUGUUAGUUUAGCUGUCACAGCUUGAAAAGACAAAAUGCUUCACUGCUAGUGACAUGAUGUAUAAAUGAACUUUAUUGAUGUUUCAUCAUUCAGCAAUGCCGCCAUAACAGGCCAAGGGACCUCGUGAACUAGGAAAGAUACCUUUUCAAGCCUGUGUAAGAGAUAGGUCUUAAACUGGCGAACACCCCGUCCAGUUGAUGUUGGAUCCAUCUUAUGAGCCCUCUCAAAUGCAUGAAAGCGACCUAAUAGGAGAGAUAAAGCAAGGAAAAGGAGAAGUAUUGCUACAGAUUAGGAAGAGAACCAUGUUUGAAGUCCAACUGAUGCAAUUUUAACCUUGCCAUGCAACAUCAUAAUAUUUGUAAAGAAGAC